AGUCGAGCGGCAGCACGGGUACUUGUACCUGGUGGCGAGCGGCGGACGGGUGAGUAAUGCCUAGGAAUCUGCCUGGUAGUGGGGGAUAACGCUCGGAAACGGACGCUAAUACCGCAUACGUCCUACGGGAGAAAGCAGGGGACCUUCGGGCCUUGCGCUAUCAGAUGAGCCUAGGUCGGAUUAGCUAGUUGGUGAGGUAAUGGCUCACCAAGGCGACGAUCCGUAACUGGUCUGAGAGGAUGAUCAGUCACACUGGAACUGAGACACGGUCCAGACUCCUACGGGAGGCAGCAGUGGGGAAUAUUGGACAAUGGGCGAAAGCCUGAUCCAGCCAUGCCGCGUGUGUGAAGAAGGUCUUCGGAUUGUAAAGCACUUUAAGUUGGGAGGAAGGGCAUUUACCUAAUACGUGAGUGUUUUGACGUUACCGACAGAAUAAGCACCGGCUAACUCUGUGCCAGCAGCCGCGGUAAUACAGAGGGUGCAAGCGUUAAUCGGAAUUACUGGGCGUAAAGCGCGCGUAGGUGGUUGUUAAGUUGGAUGUGACAUCCCCGGUCUCAACCUGGGAACUGCAUCCAAAACUGGCAAGCUAGAGUAUGGUAGAGGGUGCUGGAAUUUCCUGUGUAGCCGUGAAAUGCGUAGAUAUAGGAAGGACACCAGUGGCGAAGGUACCACCUGGACUGAUACUGACACUGAGGUGCCAAAGCGUGGGGAGCAAACAGGAUAGAUACCCUGGCAGUCCACGCCGUAAACGAUGUCAACUAGCCGUUGGGAGCCUUGGCUCUUCAGUGGCGCACUAACGCACUAAGUUGACCGCUUGGGAGGACGGCCCAAGGUUAAA
Molecule: ribosomal RNA, 838 nt
Filed under: Pseudomonas sp. LS42
Lineage: Bacteria; Pseudomonadati; Pseudomonadota; Gammaproteobacteria; Pseudomonadales; Pseudomonadaceae
Description: bacterial SSU rRNA
Rfam family: Bacterial small subunit ribosomal RNA
Source: RNAcentral